RNAcentral lists this transfer RNA (76 nucleotides) under Rugosibacter sp. RNAcentral's name for it is "tRNA-Lys". It matches the Rfam family "tRNA". Rfam says of the family: Transfer RNA (tRNA) molecules are approximately 80 nucleotides in length. Their secondary structure includes four short double-helical elements and three loops (D, anti-codon, and T loops). Further hydrogen bonds mediate the characteristic L-shaped molecular structure. tRNAs have two regions of fundamental functional importance: the anti-codon, which is responsible for specific mRNA codon recognition, and the 3' end, to which the tRNAs corresponding amino acid is attached (by aminoacyl-tRNA synthetases). tRNAs cope with the degeneracy of the genetic code in two manners: having more than one tRNA (with a specific anti-codon) for a particular amino acid; and 'wobble' base-pairing, i.e. permitting non-standard base-pairing at the 3rd anti-codon position. Lineage: Bacteria; Pseudomonadati; Pseudomonadota; Betaproteobacteria; Nitrosomonadales; Sterolibacteriaceae. The record is from RNAcentral.
GGGUUGUUAGCUCACCUGGUAGAGCAGCGAAAUUUUAAUCCGUAGGUCGACAGUUCGACUCUGUCACAACCCACCA